Long non-coding RNA from Hemicordylus capensis (graceful crag lizard), 2292 nucleotides. RefSeq lists it as uncharacterized. The transcript has 2 exons. The record is from RefSeq and is a predicted model, not a curated record. NCBI's taxonomy places the organism in Eukaryota, Metazoa, Chordata, Lepidosauria, Squamata, Cordylidae.
UAACAAUGAUUUUACUCUGGAGCAGCUGACAAAUGUGCUGGUUAACAUAUUUGGGAUCAGAGUGCUGAAUAGUCAUUGCCAGCAGUGGAGAUCAUGGAGUGACAAAAUUAUUACAUGGAAGAGAGAGUCUAAGUUACCUAGUGGAUCAUCUAGUCUAAUAUCCUACCCCAAGAAGACAGUAUUCCCAAUAAAUAUCUGCUCAAAUAUGGAAAUGUCCAAGGAAAGCAGAUCAACAGCCUUAAGAACAUACAUACAGCCCUGCUGGGUUAAACCAAAAGGUGGAUGUAGUUCAUCAUUCUGUGUCCAACUGUGACCAGCCAGCCAGAUGCUUCUGGGAUUCCCACAAGCAGGACAUUAAGGCAACAUGCCAUUCUACUACUGCUGAAGUUCUCUUUCAGUUAGAAACUUUUUCCCCUCUAGUAUUUUUUUUAAUUGAAAAAUGUUCAUGUAUGCUACAAAAAAAGAUGGAGAAAGAACUUCAAUAUAAGUGAUAAGCACCACCUGACCUCAGUGGGCAGGAUGAACCAUUGUUAUCCUUUUCUCUCUGAGUCUUUUAAUAUCUUUUUUUUUUUAAAUGUAUUCUGCCCUUCAAUUUUAAAAAGAAAAUUCUCAGAGUGACUUAGGUUGAUUAAAAGCAAAUCAACAGGAGAAAACAUGAAAAACAUUGAAUUGUGAAAAAACAGGGACCAGUAAUAAAAGCAUCUAAGAAGCAUGCUAUAAAGUGGAUUCAACUGAUGUUAUAAAAAGCCUGAGAAAACAAAAAGAUUUUCUUUUGGUGCCAAAAGGUUUUGACAGCUGAGCCUCCCUGGAGAGAGUUUUCAAGACAGGCCAAGAAGGCCACUAACAUUUCUUUUUUCUAGGUGAGAUACACCCAGGUCUUCCACUUGUCUUUAUAGAAUCUGCCUUCUGAAUUCUUAAUUAUCUUUAUGCAUCUCAGCUGAAUAAAGUUGUAUUGGCUUUCAGUUCCAAAUAAGGACUGUCUUAAGAUAAAGAACAAUCAGUAUCUAGUCAAUGUCCUAAUACUGCAUCCAUGCAGCAAAAGGAUGCCUUGCCACAUAAGUAGCAUCCAUGCUUUGGAAUUUUGGUUGGUGUUUCAUGUAUGGGGAGGGGUGAUUUUCACUAGAAGCACUCUGACUUUGAGCAAUCUGGAAACAUGUCCCUGAAGGCUACAGAACCCUCAAGGACAUGCUUCCAAUUUGCUCAGAGUGUUCUGGGGAAGGGGAGAUCAGCAAAAAUGACCCCCAUGUCUAACCAUAUGGUGAAAUAGUGCUUAUAAAAUGUAGCUAUGCUGAGUCUUUACCACAAUUGGUGGUGUGUGUGUGUGUGUGCGCGCGCAAAAAUAUCUGAUGAUUCAAACCUCUUCCAGUUCAAAUGUUCUCCCAGCUGGCAUCCUCUCCUCAGCAUCCAUUAAAGUUUUUUAGAAAACAAGUAAAAAUGUGACACUUCGCCUGUAUGAGAGUAUAAUUUUUACUGCUGUUUUGUGAACAAUAAAGCUGUGACUUAUAGAAUCCACCUUUAAAGUCAAGAGAACAAGAACAAACUCUGGGUAAAGCUGAUUUCCAUUUGUAUGUACAUUUCAAAUGUGAAAUGUUUCAGUUACACCUAAUUGAAAAUGUUCAUUGGCUCUAGCUUCUAAGUGGGGAAAGAUGCUUACCUGGAAAUGCAGAUUUGCAAUAGUUCUAUGGUGUAUUCUUCUUGCAUUUCAUUGUGAUUGUUGUGCUGAAGGAAAAACAAAAAAGAUAUGCCAAUAUGUCAUCCCUUGGAUACAUUUGACUUCUCAAGCUGAACUGAAUAAUGACAGGAAGCCAGAGGAGAAAAAGAUGGGAGGAAAGCUGAUGGAGUGAAAAGGUGAACUGUGUAAAAGGUGAGCCGCUUGAGGUUUGUUUAGUAAAACAAAACAAAAAAGCCAGGAUCAAGGGAACCGUAACAGAAGUUAUUUAGAUUUUGCAUAUGCCAGUGUGUGCUGAGAUCAUAUGGGAGAUUUAAUUUAUAACCUUUUUUAUUUGCUGACUGAUUAAAAAAUCUUGUUGAUAAUUCCUCUUCUUUGUUAUCCAAUCAGUUAAUGAAUUAUUAUAUUUAAAUACUUUUGCAUAAUGUCAACCUUGUAUAAUGUCUUUUUAAGAUAAGAGUUGUUCGAUAACUUGGAAUUCAAUAUACAAAGACUAACCUUCACUGUUAGAAUGAAAGACUUCUUUACAUAUUAAACUAACAUAUCAAAACAAUGUCAAGAAACAAACCUGUGUAUUUACUCACAGUUCAAACAAUUAAAAAAGUAUCCCUCACUUAUUCAAA